GACGAACGCUGGCGGCGUGCUUAACACAUGCAAGUCGAGCGGUAAGGCCCUUUCGGGGGUACACGAGCGGCGAACGGGUGAGUAACACGUGGGUGACCUGCCCUCAGCUCUGGGAUAAGCCUGGGAAACCGGGUCUAAUACUGGAUAUGACCCCAUGACGCAUGUUGUGGGGUGGAAAGCCUUGUGCGGCUGAGGAUGGGCCCGCGGCCUAUCAGCUUGUUGGUGGGGUGAUGGCCUACCAAGGCGACGACGGGUAGCCGGCCUGAGAGGGCGACCGGCCACACUGGGACUGAGACACGGCCCAGACUCCUACGGGAGGCAGCAGUGGGGAAUCUUGCGCAAUGGGCGAAAGCCUGACGCAGCGACGCCGCGUGAGGGAUGACGGCCUGG
RNAcentral lists this ribosomal RNA (390 nucleotides) under uncultured bacterium. RNAcentral's name for it is "bacterial SSU rRNA". It matches the Rfam family "Bacterial small subunit ribosomal RNA", at positions 28 to 419 of the family's 1533-position model. The record is from RNAcentral.